AUUGAACGCUGGCGGCAGGCUUAACACAUGCAAGUCGAGCGAGCGGCGGACGGGUGAGUAAUGUCUGGGAAACUGCCUGAUGGAGGGGGAUAACUACUGGAAACGGUAGCUAAUACCGCAUACCAUCAGAUGUGCCCAGAUGGGAUUAGCUAGUAGGUGGGGUAAUGGCUCACCUAGGCGACGAUCCCUAGCUGGUCUGAGAGGAUGACCAGCUACACUGUAACGGAGACACGGUCCAGAUUCCUACGGGAGGCAGCAGUGGGGAUUAUGGCUCAAUUGGCGUAAUCCUGAUGCAGCACUGCCGCGUGUGUGAAGAAGGCCUUCGGGUUGUAAAGCACUUUCAUCGGGGAUGCGUUACUCUCAGAAGAAGCACCGGCUAACUCCGUGCCAGCAGCCGCGGUAAUUC
RNAcentral lists this ribosomal RNA (406 nucleotides) under uncultured bacterium. RNAcentral describes it as "partial 16S ribosomal RNA". It matches the Rfam family "Bacterial small subunit ribosomal RNA", at positions 30 to 526 of the family's 1533-position model. The record is from RNAcentral.